RNAcentral lists this ribosomal RNA (253 nucleotides) under uncultured bacterium. RNAcentral's name for it is "partial 16S ribosomal RNA". It matches the Rfam family "Bacterial small subunit ribosomal RNA", at positions 524 to 776 of the family's 1533-position model. The record is from RNAcentral.
UACGAAGGGGGCUAGCGUUGCUCGGAAUCACUGGGCGUAAAGCGCACGUAGGCGGCUUACUAAGUCAGGGGUGAAAUCCUGGAGCUCAACUCCAGAACUGCCUUUGAUACUGGUGAGCUUGAGUCCGGAAGAGGUGAGUGGAACUGCGAGUGUAGAGGUGAAAUUCGUAGAUAUUCGCAAGAACACCAGUGGCGAAGGCGGCUCACUGGUCCGAUACUGACGCUGAGGCGCGAAAGCGUGGGGAGCAAACAGG